RNAcentral lists this ribosomal RNA (348 nucleotides) under Triticum aestivum (bread wheat). RNAcentral describes it as "partial small subunit ribosomal RNA". Lineage: Eukaryota; Viridiplantae; Streptophyta; Magnoliopsida; Poales; Poaceae. The record is from RNAcentral.
AUGUCUUCAUCCUCCAGCGCUUCCCAAACCAGCCUCAAUGGCCAAGUUACCGAGAAGCUGACGCAUACAAACUAUGUGCUAUGGCGCACGCAAGUGAUUCCCCAGCUGCGUGGCACCGGUGUCUUCGGCUACGUCGACGACACUCAGCCGGAGCCGGCGAGACUCCUCGUCACCACCAAGGAAGGCAAGGAGGUGUCAUCGCCCAACCCUCUCCACCCAAUCUGGGUCAGGGAGGAUCAGCAGGUUCUCGAAUACCUGCUGAACAAUCUGACGCCCGAGGUGCUGCUCACGGUGACCACGGUCACCACCGCGGGCGCGCUCUGGACGACGCUCGCCGGCAUGUUUUCC